GAACGAGAAUAAAUGCAUUUUUUUUAUAUAAAAUUCAUUUGCUAAAAAAUCUACUACUAAUGAAUUAAGGAUUUUCUUUCAUUCAUCAUCAUGUUAUUUAUGAGGCAAAGAAUAAAAUGAAAACAUAUAAUAACCAGAAAGAGAAUCAAGUAAAAACAAAAAGAUUAGUCAAUUUCAGCCUUCUAUGGAACUAAUUUGUUGGGCCUUUUUAAUGUCCAUAUUUUUAUUCUUUGAUGUUAUAUUCUUUAGAUGACAAAAUGGACUAUAUGAUGAAAGGCACCAAUGGUAAGAAAGCUAGAAAAGAUUAUAAUACCAGUGCAAC
This 322-nucleotide unclassified non-coding RNA is filed under the name Hevea brasiliensis (rubber tree). The record is from RNAcentral. Lineage: Eukaryota; Viridiplantae; Streptophyta; Magnoliopsida; Malpighiales; Euphorbiaceae.